CCUAGCAGUCUUCAUAUUUUCAUGCUGGCAUUGGAGUUCAUUUGACAUAGAUGCCAUCAUAUAGCAUUUAACUCUAAUGUCAUCAUCCAUCCACUUUUGAUGCAUCUGACGCUGAACAUCAGUAGGACGUGUUGGUAGUGUGGGGCUAUCUGAAUCGAGUAUGUAGCCUAUUUUCUCACAGUCCAAAAUAAUUUUGAGGUUUCUAAGCCAGUCCUUGUAAUUGGUUCCGGUCAGUCGGUUGGUCU
Molecule: long non-coding RNA, 245 nt
Filed under: Phoenix dactylifera (date palm)
Lineage: Eukaryota; Viridiplantae; Streptophyta; Magnoliopsida; Arecales; Arecaceae
Description: long non-coding RNA (PDAC_LNC011134)
Source: RNAcentral